This is a long non-coding RNA of Anarrhichthys ocellatus (wolf-eel), 724 nucleotides long. RefSeq lists it as uncharacterized. Lineage: Eukaryota; Metazoa; Chordata; Actinopteri; Perciformes; Anarhichadidae. The record is from RefSeq and is a predicted model, not a curated record. The transcript is spliced from 3 exons.
AUGAAGAGAGAGAGAGAGAGAGAGAGAGAAAGAGAGAGAGAGAGAGGUGGUGUGAAGGAGGCGUCUGACGGAGAUGAGAGUAUUUAUAGGUGGAGGGAUGAGGAGACAGUGAAGGUAACGAGGGAAGGAGGGAGGGAGGAGAGAGAGAGAGGAAAAUCCAGACACAAUAAGAAGAGAAGGAAGACAAAGGAGGAGAGACCAUGCUGAGGAGGAAGAGGAGCGUGUCGUUCGGAGGCUUCGGAUGGAUUGAUAAGUCUACAGUCAGCGCUCUGAGAUCUCGUCUUUCUCCUGAUUUUCAUCAUUUGUCCACUAAAACUUGAACUUGUGUUGGUCCGUCUCUCAAAACCAUCUGACUUCCUGUCUGUGAACGUUGGUUCCGACUGAAGACGUACAUCUUUAAAAACAAACAAACAGGAGGAAAUGAAGCAUCAGAUGUGAUCUUCAUCACAUUAUUACAUGAAACCAACAUCAUCAUCCUCAUCCUCUUUGUUUUUCUCUUAAUGACGGCAUCUUCUUCUGCAAUAAUAAUAAUAGAAUAAUCACAACUACAACAUUUUGCAAGAAAUUUUGACAGUGUGGCUGCUACUGCCCGAAGACGUUGCAAUAUACAGUAUGUACUGUAUAUACACGCCAAUAUUACCGGUAGUAUCAUUGAAGUUAUAUUGAGAUAUCGCUUCUCUCUUUUCUGCAUUUUAGAUUCAUACUCUUGGAUUCAAUCUUGUAU